RNAcentral lists this ribosomal RNA (605 nucleotides) under uncultured fungus. Its description in RNAcentral is "eukaryotic LSU rRNA". The stretch from base 233 to 386 matches the Rfam family "5.8S ribosomal RNA". The record is from RNAcentral. Lineage: Eukaryota; Fungi.
AGUAAAAGUCGUAACAAGGUUUCCGUAGGUGAACCUGCGGAAGGAUCAUUAAAGAGUAAGGGUGCUCAGCGCCCGACCUCCAACCCUUUGUUGUUAAAACUACCUUGUUGCUUUGGCGGGACCGCUCGGUCUCGAGCCGCUGGGGAUUCGUCCCAGGCGAGCGCCCGCCAGAGUUAAACCAAACUCUUGUUAUCAAAACCGGUCGUCUGAGUAAAAAUUUUGAAUAAAUCAAAACUUUCAACAACGGAUCUCUUGGUUCUCGCAUCGAUGAAGAACGCAGCGAAAUGCGAUAAGUAAUGUGAAUUGCAGAAUUCAGUGAAUCAUCGAAUCUUUGAACGCACAUUGCGCCCCUUGGUAUUCCGAGGGGCAUGCCUGUUCGAGCGUCAUUACACCACUCAAGCUAUGCUUGGUAUUGGGUGCCGUCCUUAGUUGGGCGCGCCUUAAAGACCUCGGCGAGGCCUCACCGGCUUUAGGCGUAGUAGAAUUUAUUCGAACGUCUGUCAAAGGAGAGGACUUCUGCCGACUGAAACCUUUUAUUUUUUCUAGGUUGACCUCGGAUCAGGUAGGGAUACCCGCUGAACUUAAGCAUAUCAAUAAGCGGAGGA